GAGUUUGAUUCUGGCUCAGGAUGAACGCUGGCGGCGUGCCUAACACAUGCAAGUCGAACGAAGAAUUUUUUGGAAGUUUUCGGAUGGAAGAAAAAUUACUUAGUGGCGGACGGGUGAGUAACGCGUAAGUAAUCAACCUACAACACACGAAUAACUAAGAGAAAUCUUAGCUAAUACGAGAUGAAGUAAGUAUAUCGGGAGAUAUAAAUAUGAAAGCUGAGGCGGUUGUAGACGAGCUUGCGUCUGAUUAGCUAGUUGGCAGGGUAAGAGCCUACCAAGGCGACGAUCAGUAGCCGGCCUGAGAGGGUGAACGGCCACAUUGGAACUGAGAGACGGUCCAAACUCCUACGGGAGGCAGCAGUGGGGGAUAUUGCACAAUGGGCGAAAGCCUGAUGCAGCAACGCCGCAUGAGCGAAGAAGGCUUUCGAGUCGUAAAGCUCUGUCGUAUGGGAAGAAAAAAAUGACAGUACCAUACAAGAA
RNAcentral lists this ribosomal RNA (480 nucleotides) under Peptostreptococcaceae bacterium canine oral taxon 047. Its description in RNAcentral is "bacterial SSU rRNA". It matches the Rfam family "Bacterial small subunit ribosomal RNA", at positions 9 to 489 of the family's 1533-position model. The record is from RNAcentral. Lineage: Bacteria; Bacillati; Bacillota; Clostridia; Peptostreptococcales; Peptostreptococcaceae.